Osmia lignaria (orchard mason bee) is the source of this 656-nucleotide long non-coding RNA. RefSeq lists it as uncharacterized. The record is from RefSeq and is a predicted model, not a curated record. Lineage: Eukaryota; Metazoa; Arthropoda; Insecta; Hymenoptera; Megachilidae.
CCUUCAUGGAGCGCGAACCUGCGUCAAAAAAAUUUCCAGCGGUUCCACAGUCGGGACCAUCUUUGCUGAAAAACUUUCUAAUAUUUUAGAAGAUAAGUGUGCCGUCAGACAAAAAGUUUGAGAACCUCUGGUCUAUGUAAAGAGGAACUCGCUCAACCGGCAAUAUAAAGAGCAGCGAUAUAGCAGAAGUUUAUUGUACCCGAUAUUUUUAAAACGUUCCCAUAAAUAUAAGCACAUCGUCUCCAAUCCAUUUUUUAUGAAACAUUGUACCACACAUCUAAGGAAAUGGAAGUGAAGAAAUACUGUUACUGUCAACUAAUUUAGUAAAAUAACUAGACCGAUCAGUUAAUUCGUAAAAAUUUAUGUCUAAUUAUUAACGAAAAUCGAUGCUGAUGGUUCAAUUGAGAAACAGGAAGAGAGUUUCUACCUGUUCAAACAUGUAUGUUAUAAAAAUGAUUAAAAAGGGAAGGUAUUGUACCUCCGGUCAGUUUCCAUAUAACGUUGGAUAACCCUUUUAUUUGAUAUAUUUAAAUAAAUCUGUGAACAAAUAACUGGUAAUAUUAUAGUUCAUGCGCAAUGCCAAACGAGCGCGGCAAUUCAGGAGUUGUUUACCCCCCAAAUAUUUCUAUAAAAAAAAUCAAAAAAAUACGCGUUCC